Non-coding RNA from Ophidiomyces ophidiicola, 101 nucleotides. The record is from the annotation of a RefSeq genome assembly. NCBI's taxonomy places the organism in Eukaryota, Fungi, Ascomycota, Eurotiomycetes, Onygenales, Onygenaceae.
GGGCUGUUGGUUUAGUGGUAUAAUACCCCCUUAGCAUCUUCACUGGAGUUUCGCCAGUCAAAGCUUGGGGGUGGUCCGGAGUUCGAUUCUCCGACAGUCCA